UAUAAAGCCUGUGUUCAAAACUUAUGUUCUG
This 31-nucleotide non-coding RNA is filed under the name Mus musculus (house mouse). The record is from RNAcentral. Lineage: Eukaryota; Metazoa; Chordata; Mammalia; Rodentia; Muridae.